GGCCUACGGGGCGCAGCAGUGAGGAAUAUUGGUCAAUGGACGGAAGUCUGAACCAGCCAUGCCGCGUGCAGGAAGACGGCUCUAUGAGUUGUAAACUGCUUUUGUACAAGGGUAAACCUGAAUACGUGUAUUCAGCUGAAAGUACUGUACGAAUAAGGAUCGGCUAACUCCGUGCCAGCAGCCGCGGUAAUACGGAGGAUCCAAGCGUUAUCCGGAUUUAUUGGGUUUAAAGGGUGCGCAGGCGGCGAGUUAAGUCAGCGGUAAAAUUUCGGGGCUCAACCCCGACGAGCCGUUGAAACUGGCUU
This 305-nucleotide ribosomal RNA is filed under the name uncultured bacterium. Its description in RNAcentral is "bacterial SSU rRNA". It matches the Rfam family "Bacterial small subunit ribosomal RNA", at positions 335 to 639 of the family's 1533-position model. The record is from RNAcentral.